This 450-nucleotide ribosomal RNA is filed under the name uncultured bacterium. Its description in RNAcentral is "partial 16S ribosomal RNA". It matches the Rfam family "Bacterial small subunit ribosomal RNA", at positions 354 to 796 of the family's 1533-position model. The record is from RNAcentral.
GUGGGGAAUUUUGGACAAUGGGCGCAAGCCUGAUCCAGCAAUGCCGCGUGCAGGAAGAAGGCCUUCGGGUUGUAAACUGCUUUUGUACGGAACGAAACGGUCCUGGUUAAUACCUGGGGCUAAUGACGGUACCGUAAGAAUAAGCACCGGCUAACUACGUGCCAGCAGCCGCGGUAAUACGUAGGGUGCGAGCGUUAAUCGGAAUUACUGGGCGUAAAGCGUGCGCAGGCGGUGCUGUAAGACAGGCGUGAAAUCCCCGGGCUCAACCUGGGAAUUGCGCUUGUGACUGCAGUGCUGGAGUACGGCAGAGGGGGAUGGAAUUGCGCGUGUAGCAGUGAAAUGCGUAGAUAUGCGGAGGAACACCGAUGGCGAAGGCAGUCCCCUGGGCCUGUACUGACGCUCAUGCACGAAAGCGUGGGGAGCAAACAGGAUUAGAAACCCCGGUAGUCC